ACGGAAGCCAUUACACCUGUGAUUAAUGAAUCAGAAACAUCCUCUUCCAGAAAGCAGGUCCAGGAGAACUGGGGAUUCUGAGAAAUUAGGACAGACGUGCACUAGGAACAGAAGAAAGAAUCGUACCUACUGGAAUGCACUCAGGCCAAGCCACAAACUGGAAAUCAGAGUUAAGCCCAGGUUCUCCCUACCCCCCCUACUGCUCAGAACCUCUCUAUUCCAAGUA
RNAcentral lists this long non-coding RNA (226 nucleotides) under Homo sapiens (human). Its description in RNAcentral is "HSALNT0237024". The record is from RNAcentral. Lineage: Eukaryota; Metazoa; Chordata; Mammalia; Primates; Hominidae.